Molecule: non-coding RNA, 46 nt
Organism: Schistosoma haematobium
Lineage: Eukaryota; Metazoa; Platyhelminthes; Trematoda; Strigeidida; Schistosomatidae
Source: Rfam
GCCCUGUUGAAGAGUCCCACAAUAGGACGGAACGGCUGUCCAGUGC